AAUGUUUCAUCUUAGUAAGGCCUCUGACACAGGAGGCUUGACUUCAUUUGAAUGUUGUAUCGCUUGGGUUAUUGUUUCACAUAGCUUAAAUUUCUGUCCCCCAGCCCAUAUGUCUUCUGACCUUUACAGGCCUUAGAACAUGCUUGCUAAACACAACCAAACCAGAAUGACGAGUGGUGGAGUUCAAGAGACUCAGGAACAUAAGAGGAAUGCACAGCACAGGUGAGGGAAGUAGGAGAAGCCCUGGGUCAGGCCAGGAACGGUGUUACUAGUCAGGGUUCUCCACAGAAACAGAAUCGAU
Molecule: long non-coding RNA, 301 nt
Filed under: Homo sapiens (human)
Lineage: Eukaryota; Metazoa; Chordata; Mammalia; Primates; Hominidae
Description: HSALNT0189089
Source: RNAcentral